GUCGAAGUUGUGUAAGAUAGCUGUAUCUGGAAGUUUAACGUAAAAGUAUGUUGAUCGUAGAUUAAGCUCGAGAAGUGGACUGUGGCGAAUAACGACGAAUAGCAGGAGGACUAAAGAAGAAGGAAAAAAGCGUUUAAUCGCUGAUAAUGAGGAAAUGGUGAGAAGGCGAAUUGCGUAGUAGAAAUGCGUAAAUAAAAUAAGGGCAUAUGAAAUCUAGAUGUGUGAAAGAUUAAGAAUGGAACAUAGUAGCGAUGUUGAUUUAGUGUAGGAGUUUCCGGAAACAUGGGUUAGUUUUGUGGAAAUUGUAAAAUAUGUAAAAAGAUUGUAGGUUAGAUGUGUGAAAGUUG
This is a long non-coding RNA of Bombus impatiens (common eastern bumble bee), 347 nucleotides long. RefSeq lists it as uncharacterized. The record is from RefSeq and is a predicted model, not a curated record. The transcript is spliced from 2 exons. Lineage: Eukaryota; Metazoa; Arthropoda; Insecta; Hymenoptera; Apidae.